CCUACGGGUGGCAGCAGUGAGGAAUAUUGGUCAAUGGGCGUAAGCCUGAACCAGCCAAGUCGCGUGAGGGAUGAAGGUUCUAUGGAUCGUAAACCUCUUUUAUAAGGGAAUAAAGUGUGGGACGUGUCCUAUUUUGUAUGUACCUUAUGAAUAAGGAUCGGCUAACUCCGUGCCAGCAGCCGCGGUAAUACGGAGGAUCCGAGCGUUAUCCGGAUUUAUUGGGCUUAAAGGGAGCGUAGGCGGGCGUUCAAGUCAGCUGUAAAAUCGCGCGGCUCAACCGCGCCCCGCAGUUGAAACUGGACGCCUUGAGUUCACAACAGGCAGGCGGAAUUCGUGGUGUAGCGGUGAAAUGCAGAGAUAUCACGAGGAACCCCGAUUGCGAAGGCAGCCUGCCGGGGUGCGACUGACGCUGAGGCUCGAAGGUGCGGGUAUCAAACAGGAUUAGAUACCCGGGUAAUC
Molecule: ribosomal RNA, 459 nt
Filed under: uncultured bacterium
Lineage: Bacteria
Description: partial 16S ribosomal RNA
Rfam family: Bacterial small subunit ribosomal RNA
Source: RNAcentral